CCUACGGGUGGCAGCAGUAAGGGAUAUUGGUCAAUGGGGGAAACCCUGAACCAGCAACGCCGCGUGAGGGAAGACGGUUUUCGGAUUGUAAACCUCUGUCCUCUGUGAAGAUGAUGACGGUAGCAGAGGAGGAAGCUCCGGCUAACUACGUGCCAGCAGCCGCGGUAAUACGUAGGGAGCGAGCGUUAUCCGGAUUCAUUGGGUUUAAAGGGUGCGCAGGCGGGCCUUUAAGCCGGCGGUGAAAUCGCGGGGCUCAACCCCGCCGAGCCGUCGGAACUGGGGGCCUUGAGUGCGGCGGAGGCAUGCGGAAUGCGCGGUGUAGCGGUGAAAUGCAUAGAUAUCGCGCAGAACCCCGAUUGCGAAGGCAGCGUGCCGUGCCGCCACUGACGCUGAGGCACGAAAGCGCGGGGAUCGAACAGGAUUAGAUACCCCUGUAGUC
Molecule: ribosomal RNA, 439 nt
Filed under: uncultured bacterium
Lineage: Bacteria
Description: partial 16S ribosomal RNA
Rfam family: Bacterial small subunit ribosomal RNA
Source: RNAcentral